CUACUGGGGUAUCUAAUCCUGUUUGCUCCCCACGCUUUCGCACCUCAGCGUCAAUACCAGUCCAGUGAGCCGCCUUCGCCACUGGUGUUCUUCCGAAUAUCUACGAAUUUCACCUCUACACUCGGAAUUCCACUCACCUCUCCUGGAUUCAAGCGAUGCAGUCUUAAAGGCAAUUCUGGAGUUGAGCUCCAGGCUUUCACCUCUAACUUACAAAGCCGCCUACGUGCGCUUUACGCCCAGUAAUUCCGAACAACGCUAGCCCCCUCCGUAUUACCGCGGCUGCUGGCAC
Molecule: ribosomal RNA, 289 nt
Filed under: uncultured Sphingomonas sp.
Lineage: Bacteria; Pseudomonadati; Pseudomonadota; Alphaproteobacteria; Sphingomonadales; Sphingomonadaceae
Description: partial 16S ribosomal RNA
Source: RNAcentral